RNAcentral lists this transfer RNA (73 nucleotides) under Camelus bactrianus (Bactrian camel). It matches the Rfam family "tRNA". Rfam says of the family: Transfer RNA (tRNA) molecules are approximately 80 nucleotides in length. Their secondary structure includes four short double-helical elements and three loops (D, anti-codon, and T loops). Lineage: Eukaryota; Metazoa; Chordata; Mammalia; Artiodactyla; Camelidae. The record is from Rfam by way of RNAcentral. RNAcentral also lists the same sequence under 2 other names.
GAGGGUAUAGCUCAAGUGUUAGAGCGAGUGCUUAGGAUGCAUGAAGUCCUGGGUUCAAUCCCCACUACCUCUU